This 367-nucleotide ribosomal RNA is filed under the name uncultured Succinivibrio sp. RNAcentral describes it as "bacterial SSU rRNA". It matches the Rfam family "Bacterial small subunit ribosomal RNA", at positions 355 to 734 of the family's 1533-position model. The record is from RNAcentral. Lineage: Bacteria; Pseudomonadati; Pseudomonadota; Gammaproteobacteria; Aeromonadales; Succinivibrionaceae.
UAGGGAAUAUUGCACAAUGGAGGAAACUCUGAUGCAGCCAUGCCGCGUGUGUGAAGAAGGCCUUCGGGUUGUAAAGCACUUUCGGAGGGGAGGAACAAAUGACGUUACCCUCCAGAAGAAGCACCGGCUAACUCCGUGCCAGCAGCCGCGGUAAUACGGAGGGUGCAAGCGUUAAUCGGAAUAACUGGGCGUAAAGGGCAUGCAGGCGGUUUAUCAAGUAGGAUGUGAAAGCCCCCGGGCUCAACCUGGGAAUUGCAUUCUAAACUGAUAGACUAGAGUAUUGCAGGGGGAGACGGAAUUCCAGGUGUAGCGGUGGAAUGCGUAGAUAUCUGGAAGAACACCAAAGGCGAAGGCAGUCUCCUGGGGC